GUCUGUGUUCCGAAACAAGGCUGUGGACAAAUGGCAGAGAAGAACACAAGUUACAACUGGUGCAGCUGCUAUUAAAGGAAAGCUCCACGCCUUUAACCAGAACGUUAGUGAACAGGUUGCUUCCUACAUGAGGGAUCCAAGUAGAAUGAUUAAACAAAUGCAACAAUCAAGAUCUACGUACUGUUGCUGUUUUUGGAAGUGUAAGUUUUGGCUUUAAGCUUCUCUACAGUUUGUUCUGACUUUAAAAUUUACACAUCCACAGGUCCCUCGGGAGGCCAUAGAACCAAUUCCAGAGGAAAAACAACAGGAAGGAGACCCUGAACUUGUGGAAGAUGCUGAGUUCUAUAGGCAGUUACUAAAGGAGUUUCUUGAGACCAUCGAUCCAGCUUCCUCGGGUAUAGUAAAAAAAAAUACAUACUGGAAUCGUUAGAUAUGAAAAUUCCCCUAGCGAUAAUCAUUAGAUAGAUACUCAAGUGUUUUUUUUUUUGCUUGUGUUAGUGUAAAGAGUCUUAUGAUAUUCUGAAAUCUCAAUCUUUUGCGCC
Arabidopsis lyrata subsp. lyrata is the source of this 542-nucleotide long non-coding RNA. RefSeq lists it as uncharacterized. The transcript has 3 exons. The record is from RefSeq and is a predicted model, not a curated record. NCBI's taxonomy places the organism in Eukaryota, Viridiplantae, Streptophyta, Magnoliopsida, Brassicales, Brassicaceae.